Molecule: ribosomal RNA, 467 nt
Filed under: uncultured Pseudomonas sp.
Lineage: Bacteria; Pseudomonadati; Pseudomonadota; Gammaproteobacteria; Pseudomonadales; Pseudomonadaceae
Description: bacterial SSU rRNA
Rfam family: Bacterial small subunit ribosomal RNA
Source: RNAcentral
GGGGCCCGGCACAAGCGGUGGAGCAUGUGGUUAAUUCGAAGCAACGCGAAGAACCUUACCAGGCCUUGACAUGCAGAGAACUUUCCAGAGAUGGAUUGGUGCCUUCGGGAACUCUGACACAGGUGCUGCAUGGCUGUCGUCAGUUCGUGUCGUGAGAUGUUGGGUUAAGUCCCGUAACGAGCGCAACCCUUGUCCUUAGUUACCAGCACGUUAUGGUGGGCACUCUAAGGAGACUGCCGGUGACAAACCGGAGGAAGGUGGGGAUGACGUCAAGUCAUCAUGGCCCUUACGGCCUGGGCUACACACGUGCUACAAUGGUCGGUACAAAGGGUUGCCAAGCCGCGAGGUGGAGCUAAUCCCAUAAAACCGAUCGUAGUCCGGAUCGCAGUCUGCAACUCGACUGCGUGAAGUCGGAAUCGCUAGUAAUCGUGAAUCAGAAUGUCACGGUGAAUACGUUCCCGGGCCUU